UCCAGACCCCUGAAAGAGGGCAGAUAAAGCUCCUCUUCACAGCCUUAGAUAUCAUCUGAUACAAGCAGCACCGUGAGCAGCCUACUGUGCUUUUUAAAGGUUCACUCACCAGCCAUGAGGCCUUACUGUAGAAGUAUUCACACAUCACUUUUCUUCCUUAAACUCCUAGAACCUGUUGCCCCAUGGUCAAUCGCCUGCCUUAGGUCCAGUACCUCUAUGCAGUCUCUAAGACGCUGCCUCUUCACACACAUCUCCUUCCCCCAGCCACAAAUCAGCCAGGAAUCGGUGGAAAUUCUCGGCCGCGUCUACCCCAGAGAUGACAUGACCAACGUGACGGUUAAGAUCUUGUCAAUGGUUGGCCGAGAGCUUCACAACCAGACGCAUCAUCCGCUGUGGAUCAUUAAAGAACGGAUAAAAGAGCAUUUUUACCGUUCCUACACAAGCCGAACUGGUACACCGCUCUUUUCCGUCCAUGAUAACCUCAGCCCAGUGGUGACAGUGGAGCAGAACUUCGACAGCCUGCUCAUCCCCAAAGACCACCCGAGCCGAAAAAAGGGUGACAAUUACUACCUGAACCAGAGCCACAUGCUGCGGGCGCACACCUCCGCGCACCAGAAGGAGCUGGUCCGCGUCGGGCUCGAUCGCUUCCUGUUAGCUGGGGACGUCUAUAGGAGGGACGAAAUAGACGCAAGCCACUAUCCUGUCUUCCACCAGAUGGAGGGAGUGCGACUAUUUACCAACCAUGAGCUGUUUGCACAAGUUCAGAACGGUGAGGAGCUGUCGAUCUUUGAGCACAGAGGUCGACGCACGCCGCAGAAGCAGGAGACUCACAGUCUGGAGGCUGUGAAGCUGGUGGAGUUCAACCUGAAACACACACUCACACAGCUCAUCAGGCACCUCUUCGGGGAAGAGCUAGAGAUCCGCUGGGUAGAGUGCUACUUCCCCUUCACGCAUCCCUCCUUUGAAAUGGAGGUGCGUUUUCAGGGCGAUUGGCUGGAGGUGCUGGGAUGUGGUGUGAUGGAGCAGGAGCUGCUGCACUCAGCGGGUGCCGGGAAUAAAAUCGGCUGGGCGUUUGGCUUGGGCUUGGAAAGACUCGCUAUGGUUCUGUUCGGCAUACCGGAUAUCCGACUCUUCUGGAGCAGAGACGAGCGCUUCCUGAAACAGUUCCAUCUGGCCAACAUCAAUGACUCUGUGACCUUUCAGGCCCUCAGUAAAUACCCACCGCUGCUCAACGACAUCUCUUUCUGGCUGCCUGAUGAAGGCUACACAGAAAACGACUUCUACGAUUUGGUGCGGAGCAUCGGAGGAGAUCUGGUGGAGAAGGUCACGCUGCAGGACCAGUUUACUCAUCCAAAGCCAUAAUGUGCCCAGCAUCAGAGAUAUUGAUCAGCACUGUCAGAGGGAAGGAAUGAAGGAAAGAAGGCACUCUUACCUUACCUGAGCAAUCUAGGAACCGUCCGAUUUACCGCAUUUAAACUCGACUCCAACUGGCCAGGAUCUACGAGUUCAUCCAUUAGGAUCCAGCGCAUGAUAGAUAUGUUAUAAUACACUUCCUUUUUUGUGCAUUUUGUGGGUAAGAUGGUUGGGUUCAUAAAGGGAGGAAGUCAGCUAAGAUCUUUAAAACCGCUCAACAUCUCAACAGUCAGUUUCACCGGGCUUUAUUUGCCCUCCAAUGUUCAGUAAUUGGAGGAGUGGAGUCGGAAACAGUCAAAGCUUUUUUGAUUGCGUUCGGUGAAAUAUUAGUGUUGUAGAAGACCAGUGCAUCUGAAGAGCUAACGCAUUUCAUAGAUCCACUGAGAGACAUAAACUGGUUUAUAAAUUUAGACCAUUUCAGUAAGCACUUUAUCUUGGCCAAGGUGGCAGUGGAUCGGAAGCCAAUGCUAGAAACACUUUCAAACACUUUUCAAUCACUUUUUCACUCUCAAGAGACGGGAAUAUGCAUUCUAGUCAGGGUGUUUUCCUACCAGUCCAUCACAGGGCAUCUCGGGUACACAUGGAUACAUCUCGGAUACUCCAUGAUGUACAUUCACAGCUAGAGGCAAUUUACCUAGAGGCAGUUAACCUACCUGUAUGUUUUUGGAAGAAAACCAGAGAACCUAUGGAAACCAGGACGUUGGGAGGAUGUACAAAUCUGAUCGAAGUUCAGGAUUAAAGCAGACACCCUGAAGCUGUGAGAACCAAGAAAGUGAGCCACUGUUACCGCGUCGUGUACCGUCACAUGGAGAGAACUUUGAGCCAAGAGGAAGUGCGGCUGAUUCACCAAGCCAUCGAACGGGCAGCUGAGCAAGACCUGGGUGUACAAGGGAGAUUCUGAUUCCUUCUCAACCU
This is an RNA transcript of Tachysurus fulvidraco (yellow catfish), 2328 nucleotides long. It is a transcript of the gene named phenylalanyl-tRNA synthetase 2, mitochondrial, with no coding region annotated. The transcript has 9 exons. The record is from RefSeq and is a predicted model, not a curated record. Lineage: Eukaryota; Metazoa; Chordata; Actinopteri; Siluriformes; Bagridae.